Molecule: long non-coding RNA, 292 nt
Filed under: Glycine max (soybean)
Lineage: Eukaryota; Viridiplantae; Streptophyta; Magnoliopsida; Fabales; Fabaceae
Description: long non-coding RNA (GMAX_LNC003384)
Source: RNAcentral
AAACUCUCUUUUUCUCACCUUUCCUUUGGAGGAUCAUUCCUUUCAAAGUUCUGAUCAUAACAAAGACCUACUUACAACUAAGCUCAAAGAUCACGUUGUGUGGCCUCAAGUCAAUGACCCAGUUGAUAGCUGCUAGAAGAGAUGAAGCUUCGGCUUCAGCAAUGGGAAUGGGACCAGCAUGUAAUGACGUUCUUGCAGCAACAAACUCGCCAUUUGCAUUUCAAAGACAUGCUCCUAAACAUAUUUAGUCAUCAUGUUUUUGUCCUCUGAAUUUUGUCAUGGUUUGGCAAGG